ACCAAUAUACGGUACCUCAUCUAACAGUUAUUGGUGAUAAGUAUACCAAUGUGUCAAUAACUCUUUGUCCAAAUGCUUCUCUAAGUAUGUUACAGUGACUUGGUCUCUAAAUCGUAUGAGCUCACCUAGCAGUUAUUGACCAUACUUCCUAGUUAAGCCCAACCCUCUAUUUACUAAUAGGUGCAAAGCUGUCAUUGGAUCCCUCACCUAACAGUUAUUAGGUCCAACCCCAUCUUUACCCUGGGGCAUCUAAUGCCAAUAAAGUGCUUAUGCCUUCCCGAUGCAACCGAACCACUAUAACCAAACAAGAAUGAUCAACACCAAAAAAAGCAUCCGCAUCUCUACAACAAUGGAAGAUCGGUGACUUAAUAUUUAGUGGAGAGAUUUAGGUUCAGGUCUCUUCUAAUAGUCACAUACAUCUGAUGCAGAUGACUAAGCUAGUUCAGGUCAGCACAUCUUAUGUCUGACAACUUAAUUGGUAUGGGUGAACUCGAGUCAACAAGUAACCUAAUAUAAAACACAAACUCCUAAAAUGGUCAGGUAAAUGAAGAUGAGUGGGGAUUCUCUCGUUGCUUUCCUUAAAUACCAAUGAAUUGGCCAGAUCAAACAACAAAACUAAUUAAAGAACCACCAUCUAAGACUUGCCUUAGACACCAAAUUCGUUGAUUAAAUCGAUCAAGUUAACCUAUGACUCGGGCUCGAACCAUUAAGCGAAAUUUGAUCUUGAUUUAAUCAUUUCACAUCACAUGUGAAUCAAUUUGACCAACUACAACUAAACUCAAUUUUGAGCCCC
Molecule: long non-coding RNA, 793 nt
Filed under: Elaeis guineensis (African oil palm)
Lineage: Eukaryota; Viridiplantae; Streptophyta; Magnoliopsida; Arecales; Arecaceae
Description: long non-coding RNA (EGUI_LNC062450)
Source: RNAcentral